RNAcentral lists this ribosomal RNA (563 nucleotides) under Nymphargus lasgralarias (Las Gralarias glassfrog). Its description in RNAcentral is "partial 16S ribosomal RNA". It matches the Rfam family "Bacterial large subunit ribosomal RNA", at positions 1574 to 2362 of the family's 2925-position model. Lineage: Eukaryota; Metazoa; Chordata; Amphibia; Anura; Centrolenidae. The record is from RNAcentral.
AUCAGACAGGACACCCCGCUGACAAUUAACACCCGUGAACAAAAAGUAGUAACUUAACAAGAAAACCCUACUGCACCCUAUGUUGACCUAACACCAGAGCACUACAAGAAAGAUUUAAAGAAAGAGAAGGAACUCGGCAAAUAAUAACCUCGCCUGUUUACCAAAAACAUCGCCUCUUGAAUAAUAUAAGAGGUCCAGCCUGCCCAGUGACUCUGUUCAACGGCCGCGGUAUCCUAACCGUGCGAAGGUAGCGUAAUCACUUGUUCUUUAAAUGAGGACUAGUAUGAACGGCACCACGAAGGUUAUGCUGUCUCCUCUUUCCAAUCAGUGAAACUAAUCUCCCCGUGAAGAAGCGAGGAUAUACGUAUAAGACGAGAAGACCCUAUGGAGCUUUAAACCACACAACACCUGCUCUAACUUAAUUAACCUUCAGAAAACCCCCAUUUACCCAUGCAGGAUGAUUGUCAGUUUUAGGUUGGGGUGACCGCGGAGCACAAAAUAACCUCCACAUUGAAAGGAGCCCACUCCUUAGCUAAGAGCCACACCUCCACGCAUCAACAAAA